This 1679-nucleotide ribosomal RNA is filed under the name Planococcus koreensis. RNAcentral's name for it is "partial 23S ribosomal RNA". It matches the Rfam family "Bacterial large subunit ribosomal RNA", at positions 1252 to 2925 of the family's 2925-position model. The record is from RNAcentral. Lineage: Bacteria; Bacillati; Bacillota; Bacilli; Caryophanales; Caryophanaceae.
GAAGCUGGACCGGAAGGACUGGUGGAGCGCUUAGAAGUGAGAAUGCCGGUAUGAGUAACGAAAGACGGGUGAGAAUCCCGUCCACCGAAUGCCUAAGGUUUCCUGAGGAAGGCUCGUCCGCUCAGGGUCAGUCGGGACCUAAGUCGAGGCCGAUAGGCGUAGACGAUGGACAACAGGUUGAUAUUCCUGUACCACCUCCCCGCCGUUUGAGCAAUGGGGGGACGCAGAAGGAUAAGGUGAGCGCGCCGUUGGUUGUGCGCGUCCAAGCAGUGAGGCGGAAAAUGAGGCAAAUCCCAUUUUCAUACACGCUGAGCUGUGAUGGCAAGGGGCAUUGCGCCCUGGAGUCCCUGAUUUCACACUGCCAAGAAAAGCCUCUAGCGAGGCGGGAGGUGCCCGUACCGCAAACCGACACAGGUAGGCGAGAAGAGAAUUCUAAGGUGAGCGAGUGAACUCUCGUUAAGGAACUCGGCAAAAUGACCCCGUAACUUCGGGAGAAGGGGUGCUCUGGUAGGGUGUAUAGCCCGAGAGAGCCGCAGUGAAUAGGCCCAGGCGACUGUUUAGCAAAAACACAGGUCUCUGCAAAACCGUAAGGUGACGUAUAGGGGCUGACGCCUGCCCGGUGCUGGAAGGUUAAGAGGAGUGCUUAGCGCAAGCGAAGGUGCGAAUUGAAGCCCCAGUAAACGGCGGCCGUAACUAUAACGGUCCUAAGGUAGCGAAAUUCCUUGUCGGGUAAGUUCCGACCCGCACGAAAGGCGUAACGAUCUGGGCACUGUCUCAACGAGAGACUCGGUGAAAUUAUAGUACCUGUGAAGAUGCAGGUUACCCGCGACAGGACGGAAAGACCCCGUGGAGCUUUACUGUAGCCUGAUAUUGAAUUUUGGUGCAACUUGUACAGGAUAGGUAGGAGCCAGAGAUCCCGGAGCGCCAGCUUCGGAGGAGGCGUCGGUGGGAUACUACCCUGGUUGUAUUGAAAUUCUAACCCACGCCCCUGAUCGGGGCGGGAGACAGUGUCAGGCGGGCAGUUUGACUGGGGCGGUCGCCUCCUAAAGAGUAACGGAGGCGCCCAAAGGUUCCCUCAGAAUGGUUGGAAAUCAUUCGCAGAGUGUAAAGGCAGAAGGGAGCUUGACUGCGAGACGUACAGGUCGAGCAGGGUCGAAAGACGGGCUUAGUGAUCCGGUGGUUCCGCAUGGAAGGGCCAUCGCUCAACGGAUAAAAGCUACCCCGGGGAUAACAGGCUUAUCUCCCCCAAGAGUUCACAUCGACGGGGAGGUUUGGCACCUCGAUGUCGGCUCAUCGCAUCCUGGGGCUGUAGUCGGUCCCAAGGGUUGGGCUGUUCGCCCAUUAAAGCGGUACGCGAGCUGGGUUCAGAACGUCGUGAGACAGUUCGGUCCCUAUCCGUCGCGGGCGCAGGAAAUUUGAGAGGAGCUGUCCUUAGUACGAGAGGACCGGGAUGGACACACCGCUGGUGUACCAGUUGUUCCGCCAGGGGCAUCGCUGGGUAGCUAUGUGUGGCCGGGAUAAGUGCUGAAAGCAUCUAAGCACGAAGCCCCCCUCAAGAUGAGAUUUCCCAUUGCGCAAGCAAGUAAGAUCCCUCAAAGACGAUGAGGUAGAUAGGUUCGGAGUGGAAGCGUGGCGACACGUGCAGCUGACGAAUACUAAUCGAUCGAGGACUUAACCAA